UCAUGACUCUCGGCAACGGAUAUCUCAGCUCUCGCCACGAUGAAGAACGUAGCGAAAUGUGAUACUUAGUGUGAAUUACAGAAUCCCGUGAAUCAUCGAGUCUUUGAACGUAAGUUGCGCCCUAGGCCUCGGCCAAGGGCACGUCCGCUUGGGCGUCGCAU
Molecule: ribosomal RNA, 161 nt
Filed under: Lepidozamia peroffskyana
Lineage: Eukaryota; Viridiplantae; Streptophyta; Cycadopsida; Cycadales; Zamiaceae
Description: 5.8S rRNA
Rfam family: 5.8S ribosomal RNA
About the family: 5.8S ribosomal RNA (5.8S rRNA) is a component of the large subunit of the eukaryotic ribosome. It is transcribed by RNA polymerase I as part of the 45S precursor that also contains 18S and 28S rRNA. Functionally, it is thought that 5.8S rRNA may be involved in ribosome translocation.
Source: RNAcentral